AAAAAGCCUCGGGAGUCUAUCCUUCGCACUGAAUUUGCUAAUGCAAUUGAGUUCAUCAACAAGGAUCUAUCUGAAGAAAAUCGACUUAGAUUUCUCCACUGGGAUUUGAAUAAGCAUUCACGAAGCAAAGCUACAAAUGUCUUGUUUUCUCUGGGAAAAGUGGCUACAUAUGCAUUGAAUUUGACAGGUUUCUUCUAUUGCCAAGUUACAUCAGCUAUAAGAUCCGAGGGAUGUUUGAAAUUGCCCACUAUUGAAUGUACUGCUGCUAGUAAUGUGGAUCCUUUGAGACGUUUUGACCCUGCUGUUGAGAAACAAUAUAAUAAUGACAAUGGUGAGUCAGAUAACUCGGAGGGGAAAACCAAUGGAUGUAACUACGUUAGUGAUGACUAUCUUAAACCAACAAUGUUCCAAAAGGGGGUGCUAAGGACAAAUUGCAUAGAUUGCUUGGAUCGUACAAAUGUGGCACAGUAUGCAUAUGGAUUGGCUGCUUUGGGUUAUCAACUCAAUGCAUUAGGAGUUACAAAUUCAACAAAGAUAGACCUUGAUGAUCCUUUGGCAGAAGAAUUAAUGGGAUUCUAUGAGAGGAUGGGUGAUACACUUGCUCAUCAAUAUGGUGGCUCUGCAGCUCACAACAAGAUAUUUUCAGAGAGGAGG
Molecule: unclassified non-coding RNA, 654 nt
Filed under: Hevea brasiliensis (rubber tree)
Lineage: Eukaryota; Viridiplantae; Streptophyta; Magnoliopsida; Malpighiales; Euphorbiaceae
Source: RNAcentral